This 454-nucleotide ribosomal RNA is filed under the name uncultured Pirellulaceae bacterium. RNAcentral describes it as "bacterial SSU rRNA". It matches the Rfam family "Bacterial small subunit ribosomal RNA", at positions 342 to 791 of the family's 1533-position model. Lineage: Bacteria; Pseudomonadati; Planctomycetota; Planctomycetia; Pirellulales; Pirellulaceae. The record is from RNAcentral.
CGGGGGGCAGCAGUCGAGGAUCUUCGGCAAUGGGCGAAAGCCUGACCGAGCGACGCCGCGUGUGGGAUGAAGGCCUUCGGGUUGUAAACCACUGUCAAUGGGGAGGAAAUGCAGGGGGGUACUCCCCUCUGUUUGACCUAUCCGUGGAGGAAGUACGGGCUAAGUUCGUGCCAGCAGCCGCGGUAAGACGAACCGUACGAACGUUAUUCGGAAUUACUGGGCUUAAAGGGUGCGUAGGCUGCGCGGAAAGUUGGGUGUGAAAGCCCUCGGCUCAACCGAGGAACUGCAUUCAAAACUACCGUGCUCGAGGGAGACAGAGGUAAGCGGAACUCAAGGUGGAGCGGUGAAAUGCGUUGAUAUCUUGAGGAACACCGGUGGCGAAGGCGGCUUACUGGGUCUUUUCUGACGCUGAGGCACGAAAGCUAAGGUAGCAAACGGGAUUAGAUACCCGAGU